This 806-nucleotide ribosomal RNA is filed under the name uncultured organism. Its description in RNAcentral is "bacterial SSU rRNA". It matches the Rfam family "Bacterial small subunit ribosomal RNA", at positions 25 to 821 of the family's 1533-position model. The record is from RNAcentral.
CAGAACGAACGCUGGCGGCGCGUUUUAAGCAUGCAAGUCGAACGGUAACCAUCCUUCGGGAUGGCUAGAGUGGCGAACGGGUGAGUAACACGUAGGUGAUCUGCCCUUGAGUUGGGGAUAGCCCAUGGAAACAUGGGGUAAUACCGAAUACGCUCGCGACCCUGUGGGGAUGUGAGGAAAAGCGCUUCGGCGCUGCUCGAGGAUGAGCCUGCGGCUGAUUAGUUAGUUGGUGGGGUAACGGCCUACCAAGGCGACGAUCAGUAGCCGGCCUGAGAGGGUGAGCGGCCACACUGGGACUGAGAUACGGCCCAGACUCCUACGGGAGGCAGCAGCUAAGAAUCUUCUACAAUGGACGAAAGUCUGAUAGAGCGACGCCGCGUGGGUGAUGAAGGCCGGAAGGUUGUAAAGCCCUUUUCUAUUCGAGGAAUAAGGUGUGGAGGCAAUGCCACACUGAUGACGGUAGGGUAGGAAUAAGCCCCGGCCAAUUACGUGCCAGCAGCCGCGGUAACACGUAUGGGGCGAGCGUUGUUCGGAAUCAUUGGGCGUAAAGGGCGCGUAGGCGGAUAUGCAAGCUUGGUGUGAAAGACCGCAGCUCAACUGCGGGAGCGCGCUGAGAACUGCAUAUCUUGAGUUCAAGAGGGGAAGCUGGAAUUCCAGGUGUAGGGGUGAAAUCUGUAGAUAUCUGGAAGAACAUCAGUGGCGAAGGCGAGCUUCUGGCUUUGAACUGACGCUGAGGCGCGAAAGCGUGGGGAGCGAACAGGAUUAGAUACCCUGGUAGUCCACGCUGUAAACGAUGUGCACUAGGU